CACCAGGUUGAUUCUGCCUGACGUAGAUGCUAGUUUCUAAGAUUAAGCCAUGCAUGUUUGUGUAACAAGGACGAAUAGCUCAGUAGAACUGCGAUGAUUUAGUCUGUCUGUGUUAAGAUAACUACGUGAAAAUGUAGCUAAGAGAGGACAGAAUAAGACGCAGGACUAUCAGUUAGUUGGUAGUGUAAUGGACUACCAAGACGAUGACGGUUGACGGGGAAUUAGGGUUUUAUACCGGAGAGGGAGCCUGAGAGAUUGCUCCCACGUCCAAGGACGGCAGCAGGCGCGAAAAUUGCCCACUGUUUGUAGGAGGCAGUUAUGAAACGUGAAGAUGAAUGCUUUGUAAAGAUGAGCAGGAAGAAUUGGAGGGCAAGUUUGGUGCCAGCAGCCGCGG
This 394-nucleotide ribosomal RNA is filed under the name uncultured Microsporidia. RNAcentral describes it as "SSU rRNA". It matches the Rfam family "Microsporidia small subunit ribosomal RNA", at positions 1 to 405 of the family's 1311-position model. The record is from RNAcentral. Lineage: Eukaryota; Fungi; Microsporidia.